Molecule: small nucleolar RNA, 126 nt
Organism: Carlito syrichta (Philippine tarsier)
Lineage: Eukaryota; Metazoa; Chordata; Mammalia; Primates; Tarsiidae
Source: Ensembl
AAGUCUGAUCACUUACACUCAUUCAGUACUACCAGUGUCUCCAAAUGCACGCAAAAGCAACCUGGAGAGACAUGGGCAGCACAGGUGAGCACAACCCCUGCAGUUGCUGCUGCCUUUCCUAGAAUG